Molecule: transfer RNA, 69 nt
Filed under: Anatoma sp. MNHN-IM-2013-42003
Lineage: Eukaryota; Metazoa; Mollusca; Gastropoda; Pleurotomariida; Scissurellidae
Description: tRNA-Ala
Source: RNAcentral
GGCGUUAUAUUUUAAGUAUAAAAGGUUUGAUUUGCAUUUAAAUGAUGGAGUAUUUAGCUCCUAAUGCCA